AGUGAACGCUGGCGGUAGGCCUAACACAUGCAAGUCGAACGGCAGCACAGAGGAGCUUGCUCCUUGGGUGGCGAGUGGCGGACGGGUGAGGAAUACAUCGGAAUCUACUCUGUCGUGGGGGAUAACGUAGGGAAACUUACGCUAAUACCGCAUACGACCUACGGGUGAAUGCAGGGGACCUUCGGGCCUUGCGCGAUUGAAUGCGCCGAUGUCGGAUUAGCGAGUUCGCGGGGUAAAGGCCCACCCAGGCGACGAUCCGUAGCUGGUCUGAGAGGAGGAGCGACCACAGUGGAACUGAGACACGGUCCAGACUCCUACGGGAGGCAGCAGUGGGGAAUAUUGGACAAUGGGCGCAAGCCUGAUCCAGCCAUACCGCGUGGGGGAAGAAGGCCUUCGGGUUGUAAAGCCCUUUUGUUGGGAAAGAAAUCCAGCUGGCUAAUACCCGGUUGGGAUGACGGUACCCAAAGAAUAAGCACCGGCUAACUUCGUGCCAGCCGCCGCCGUAA
RNAcentral lists this ribosomal RNA (506 nucleotides) under uncultured bacterium. RNAcentral describes it as "partial 16S ribosomal RNA". It matches the Rfam family "Bacterial small subunit ribosomal RNA", at positions 29 to 523 of the family's 1533-position model. The record is from RNAcentral.